RNAcentral lists this ribosomal RNA (253 nucleotides) under uncultured bacterium. Its description in RNAcentral is "partial 16S ribosomal RNA". It matches the Rfam family "Bacterial small subunit ribosomal RNA", at positions 524 to 776 of the family's 1533-position model. The record is from RNAcentral.
UACGUAGGGGGCAAGCGUUGUCCGGAAUUAUUGGGCGUAAAGAGCGCGUAGGCGGUCCGGUAAGUCGGUUGUGAAAGUCGGGGGCUCAACCCUCGGAUGCCGAUCGAUACUGUCGGGCUAGAGUCCGGAAGAGGCGAGUGGAAUUCCUGGUGUAGCGGUGAAAUGCGCAGAUAUCAGGAGGAACACCGGUGGCGAAGGCGGUUCUCUGGGCAUUACCUGACGCUGAGGAGCGAAAGUGUGGGGAGCGAACAGG